RNAcentral lists this ribosomal RNA (445 nucleotides) under uncultured bacterium. RNAcentral describes it as "bacterial SSU rRNA". It matches the Rfam family "Bacterial small subunit ribosomal RNA", at positions 1 to 495 of the family's 1533-position model. The record is from RNAcentral.
GUUUUAAAGUUUGAUUCUGGCUCAGAACGAACGCUGGCGGAAGGCUUAACACAUGCAAGUCGAGCGCACCUUCGGGGUGAGCGGCAGACGGGUGAGUAACGCGUGGGAACGUACCUUUUGGUUCGGAAUAGCCCCGGGAAACUGGGAGUAAUACCGGAUAAGCCCCUCGGGGGAAAGAUUUAUCGCCAAAAGAUCGGCCCGCGUCAGAUUAGCUAGUUGGUGGUGGUAAUGGCUCACCAAGGCGACGAUCUGUAGCUGGUCUGAGAGGAUGAUCAGCCACACUGGGACUGAGACACGGCCCAGACUCCUACGGGAGGCAGCAGUGGGGAAUCUUGGACAAUGGGGGAAACCCUGAUCCAGCCAUUCCGCGUGGAUGAUGAAGGCCUUAGGGGAGUAAAAUCCUUUCAGCAGGGAAGAUAAAGACUGACCUGCAGAAGAAGCCCCG